GUUAGGGUGGCAGAGCCAGGUAUAAUGCAAAAAGCCUAAGACUUUUACCCCAGAUGUUCAAAUCGUCUCCCCAACA
Molecule: transfer RNA, 76 nt
Filed under: Typhlosaurus sp. MCB-2011
Lineage: Eukaryota; Metazoa; Chordata; Lepidosauria; Squamata; Scincidae
Description: tRNA-Leu
Source: RNAcentral